AUUCUUCUAGUAUAAACAGUACAAGUGACUUCCAAUCACUAAGACUCAAACAGCCCUGAGGAAGAGUA
This 68-nucleotide transfer RNA is filed under the name Scincella huanrenensis. RNAcentral describes it as "tRNA-Gly". The record is from RNAcentral. Lineage: Eukaryota; Metazoa; Chordata; Lepidosauria; Squamata; Scincidae.